RNAcentral lists this transfer RNA (373 nucleotides) under Toxoplasma gondii. RNAcentral describes it as "transfer RNA-Asp". The stretch from base 1 to 73 matches the Rfam family "tRNA". Lineage: Eukaryota; Apicomplexa; Conoidasida; Eucoccidiorida; Sarcocystidae. The record is from RNAcentral.
UCUUCAGUAGCUCAGUGGUUAGAGCUUUCGGCUGUUAACCGAAGAGUCGUUGGUUCAAAUCCAAUCUGAGGAGAAAUUUUUUUAAAAUAUAUUACUACGGAAGGAGAGACUCGAACUCUCAAGUUUAUUAGAUCCUAAAUCUAACGCGUCUACCAAUUUCGCCACAUCCGCAUACUAAUCUUAGUUAGGCCUAGUAGGUUUCGAACCUACAUAAAAAACUUAGAAGGUUUUUGUCCUUACCCAUUAGACGAUAGACCUUUUAUUUUAUGGGCAGUAUUGGAAUCGAACCAAUACUUAUGUGCUUGUAAAGCAUAUACUCUACCACUAAGCUAACUACCCUAUAUUAUUUAAGUAUAGGUAACUUAUAUAGUUA